GUCAAGUCGGAUGUGAAAUCCCCGGGCUCAACCUGGGAACUGCAUUCGAAACUGGCAGGCUUGAGUCUUGUAGAGGGGGGUAGAAUUCCAGGUGUAGCGGUGAAAUGCGUAGAGAUCUGGAGGAAUACCGGUGGCGAAGGCGGCCCCCUGGACAAAGACUGACGCUCAGGUGCGAAAGCGUGGGGAGCAAACAGGAUUAGAUACCCUGGUAGUCCACGCCGUAAACGAUGUCUACUUGGAGGUUGUGCCCUUGAGGCGUGGCUUCCGGAGCUAACGCGUUAAGUAGACCGCCUGGGGAGUACGGCCGCAAGGUUAAAACUCAAAUGAAUUGACGGGGGCCCGCACAAGCGGUGGAGCAUGUGGUUUAAUUCGAUGCAACGCGAAGAACC
RNAcentral lists this ribosomal RNA (389 nucleotides) under Salmonella enterica. RNAcentral's name for it is "bacterial SSU rRNA". It matches the Rfam family "Bacterial small subunit ribosomal RNA", at positions 582 to 970 of the family's 1533-position model. Lineage: Bacteria; Pseudomonadati; Pseudomonadota; Gammaproteobacteria; Enterobacterales; Enterobacteriaceae. The record is from RNAcentral. RNAcentral also lists the same sequence under 8 other names.